Molecule: small nucleolar RNA, 129 nt
Organism: Meriones unguiculatus (Mongolian gerbil)
Lineage: Eukaryota; Metazoa; Chordata; Mammalia; Rodentia; Muridae
Source: Ensembl
CUCCAUACUUCACGACUGGCCUGGGUAACAUAUUGGAACUUCCCAGCAUAGAAGAUGGGGUUCUUGUUUAUUGGCCACACUGUCACCAUUUAACUGUUAUCAGAUUCUGACUUGGCACAAAUGGCAUUC